This 214-nucleotide long non-coding RNA is filed under the name Mytilus galloprovincialis (Mediterranean mussel). The record is from RNAcentral. Lineage: Eukaryota; Metazoa; Mollusca; Bivalvia; Mytilida; Mytilidae.
UCUCGGAGUUCAGUAUUUUUGUGAUUUUACUUUAUUUUUAGAGACGUUGUGAUGACAAGAAACAGGACUGACGGACUGAUGAACGGGUCAUAAACAUUAUAUCCUCCGCAACUUCCUUGUGUGGGGUAUAAUAACACAUGUCAUUAACCUCGAUAAUGUUUUCUUCAUAUUUUCUUUAUUGUUUAUUCAUGUUAGUGUUUUUAAUCCUUUUUAG